GGGCUGGAGCGCCGCGCCCGGCAGACUCCAGGGAGAUGCCAAGCGACGGGAGCAACUCCCGUUUCCACGUCGGGGAAACCUUUGUUGGUCGCUCCCGUCUCGCAGAGGCUGCAAGGGGCGCACGGUCACAGCCAGCGCUGUGCCUGUCUGGAUGCUCCGAUGUGUGCAUUGCAGAUCUGAAUUUUCAGAGCAAGCCAGAGCAGUCCUGUGAAAAAGCAAGUUCCUAGACUUUGAAGAGUCUAGGAUUGAUUCCUAAAAGAAGUGAACAUUAUUAAUAAAUCAGCCACAACACAUCUUUGGCA
This 302-nucleotide long non-coding RNA is filed under the name Manacus vitellinus (golden-collared manakin). RNAcentral's name for it is "lncRNA (ENSMVIG00005000468.1)". Lineage: Eukaryota; Metazoa; Chordata; Aves; Passeriformes; Pipridae. The record is from RNAcentral.